CAAUGGUGUGAAGCUUAUUGUUCUACAUCAUGCAUAAUCCCUUUUUGAGUGCUCCACCAUUUGGGAGGUGUGGACAAUGGUGUUAAUCUCUAUAUUUUUGGUAUCUCUACUUACCAUUUUUAGUUACCUGGUUGAACUUGUUUAGAUUUCUUAAAACUUUUCUGCCGAGCUUUGUACUCAUGUCGUGCUCUCUACUUGCUACAAAAUGUAUGCUCGCAUGAUUUCUUAAAAUGGAACCGGGGUAGAAUCC
This 250-nucleotide long non-coding RNA is filed under the name Hordeum vulgare. RNAcentral describes it as "long non-coding RNA (HVUL_LNC019734)". Lineage: Eukaryota; Viridiplantae; Streptophyta; Magnoliopsida; Poales; Poaceae. The record is from RNAcentral.